Molecule: long non-coding RNA, 414 nt
Filed under: Pongo abelii (Sumatran orangutan)
Lineage: Eukaryota; Metazoa; Chordata; Mammalia; Primates; Hominidae
Description: lincRNA
Source: RNAcentral
AAAGCCUAAAUCCCAUAAGACCCUCUUGGCUGAACUGAUUACAGUUUACUACAGCAAAAAGGGGGGAUAAAGAGAGGAUACAAGAACUUUUUUCGGCUCCUCCAUAGUUCAUGGAUAAUCUCGAAAUGUUUCAUGCAGACGGCUCUGCGCAGUAUUUGGGCUGUAAAAACAUCGUGUCAGACAGUUUGGAAGACGUUGUAAACAACCUAAAUGUCCGUCAAAAGAAAAUAAGUAGAUAAGAAAGCUGAGGUCACAAAAAGGAAAGUGACUGGUCCAAGUUGAAAUUGAUCGUAAUUAGCAGAGCUAGAAGUUGAAACCAGUUCUGUUUUAUUAUAAAUCCACACCACACUUUGGAUCACACAUCAUCAGUGGCCCAAACUCUCAGCUCUUGCAAAUAAAAAUAAAUCAACAGUU